CACGUAGGGCGCAAGCGUUGUCCGGAAUUAUUGGGCGUAAAGAGCUCGUAGGCGGUCUGUUGCGUCCGCUGUGAAAACUCGGGGCUUAACCCCGAGCCUGCAGUGGAUACGGGCAGACUAGAGGUAGGUAGGGGAGAAUGGAAUUCCCGGUGUAGCGGUGAAAUGCGCAGAUAUCAGGAGGAACACCGGUGGCGAAGGCGGAUCUCUGGGCCUUACCUGACGCUCAGGCGCGAAAGCUAGGGGAGCGAACAGG
Molecule: ribosomal RNA, 253 nt
Filed under: uncultured bacterium
Lineage: Bacteria
Description: partial 16S ribosomal RNA
Rfam family: Bacterial small subunit ribosomal RNA
Source: RNAcentral